CUCCCAAAGUGCUGGGAUUACAGGCAUGAGCCACCGCGCCUGGCCUACAACUUUUUUCCAUAGUGUAUAUCCUAAUUUAACUUUACACCAACAAUGCAUAAGAUUUUCCCUUUAUCCAAAUCCACAUCAGCAUUCUUUUUAAUUUUUAAGAUAUUUUCAGUAACAUGUAUUCCAGUAGGUGUGGGAUGGUAUCUGAAUGUGGUUUUGGAGUACAUUCUUUUCUGAUGAAUAGUAAUGUUGAGGACCUUUUCUCUUACAUGUUUGUGCAUUUUAUGUCAUUUUUGCAGCGAUGUCUAUUCAGGUUUUCUGCCCGAUUUUAGUUUGGAUAUGUAUUUUUUAUGCUAUUUGGAAUUUUUUUUUCUGUGUAUAUGUUUGAUAACAACCAGUUAUCACUUCUAUGAUUCCCUCCUAUUUUCUCACAAUCUUUUUCUUUUUUGAGACAGCUCACUCUCACAGACCAUGCUGGAGCACAGUGGCACAUCACAGGACCAUGUGUAUUGGGAUAUUGGCUACCUACAGCUUUGCAACGCAAUUUGGUAUCAGGAAUUCUGGGUGGGCUAUGAACAGGCCAACUGCAAGGGCGAGCAGUUUGUGUUUGAGAAGGCGAGUACGCCCACUGGGACUGGUGGACCAGCAGCCAGAGGACAGACUCAGCAGCCUGAGGCCCAUCAAAGUGGACAGCCAAGAGCACAAGAUCAUCCUCUAUGAAAAUCCCAACUUCACCGGGAAGAAGAUGGGAAUCAUAGAUGACGAUGUACCCAGCUUCCACGCCCAUGGCUACCAGGAGAAGGUGUCAUCUGUGCAGGUGCAGAGUGGCACAGCUGCCUUUGGGGAAAUGGUAUGCUUUUGGAGUGGAGAAACCUUGGCCUUAACCUCAGCGCCAGUGAGCAAGACAUGUAUGUCAGAGGGGCAAGUUGAGGCAGAGGGAGGAUUAGGUUGAGGCAGGAGGGAAGGAAUGAGUUGAGUAGUCUGAAAGCUAUGAGAAGCAGGAGGACCAGCCCAUGCUGCCUUUGACUGCGUGUGUCCCUAAGUUUGGGAACAGGAGGUGUCAUUUUCCACUGAAUUGAAGUUCCUGGGCACAUCGACCCUGGCCAUCAGCAAUGAGGGAUUUCUCAUGGUAAAAAAUUUGGAUUCCAUGGGGGUCCACAGAUGAGCUUUGGGCAGUGGUGUGCUGGAAACAGCUUAUACCAGCUUGUAAGAACUGACUUUUUUUUUUUUUUUUUUUUUUUUUUGAGACGGAGGCUGGCACUGUUGCCCUGGCUGGAGUGCAAUGGAAUGAUCUCGGCUCACUGCAACCUCCGCGCCUCCCAGGUGGGUUGGCUACUAGUACCCCGGCUACCGCAGGCUGCAGUACCUGCUGGAGAAGGGAGACUACAAGGACAGCAGCGACUUUGGGGCCCGUCACCCCCAGGUACAGUCUGUGCGCCGCAUCCACGACAUGCAGUGGCACUAAUGUGGUUCCUUACACCCCUCCAACUAGUGCCCUCCCCACCAUGCCUCCUUCCCAGGACCCAGGUCUGCUGCCCAGGAACCCUCCAGACCUCCCAGAGAGUGAAUAAAGUGUGACUUGCAACUUG
RNA transcript from Nomascus leucogenys (northern white-cheeked gibbon), 1577 nucleotides. It is a transcript of the gene named beta-crystallin B2-like, with no coding region annotated. The transcript is spliced from 5 exons. The record is from RefSeq and is a predicted model, not a curated record. NCBI's taxonomy places the organism in Eukaryota, Metazoa, Chordata, Mammalia, Primates, Hylobatidae.